This 454-nucleotide ribosomal RNA is filed under the name uncultured Parabacteroides sp. RNAcentral describes it as "partial 16S ribosomal RNA". It matches the Rfam family "Bacterial small subunit ribosomal RNA", at positions 341 to 792 of the family's 1533-position model. Lineage: Bacteria; Pseudomonadati; Bacteroidota; Bacteroidia; Bacteroidales; Tannerellaceae. The record is from RNAcentral.
ACGGAAGGCAGCAGUGAGGAAUAUUGGUCAAUGGGCGGAAGCCUGAACCAGCCAAGUCGCGUGAAGGAUGAAGGUAUUAUGUAUUGUAAACUUCUUUAGCAGCAGAGUAAUAAGGUCCUCGUGAGGACCGAUGCAAGUAUGCUGAAAAUAAGGAUCGGCUAACUCCGUGCCAGCAGCCGCGGUAAUACGGAGGAUCCGAGCGUUAUCCGGAUUUAUUGGGUUUAAAGGGUGCGCAGGCGGCACGUUAAGUCAGCGGUGAAAUGUCGGGGCUCAACCCGGGCACUGCCGUUGAAACUGGCGAGCUUGAGUACGGAUGAAGUUGGCGGAAUGUGAUGUGUAGCGGUGAAAUGCUUAGAUAUGUCAUAGAACACCGAUUGCGAAGGCAGCUGACUAAUCCGCAACUGACGCUCAGGCACGAAAGCGUGGGGAUCGAACAGGAUUAGAUACCCUGGUA